RNAcentral lists this ribosomal RNA (1343 nucleotides) under uncultured bacterium. RNAcentral describes it as "16S ribosomal RNA". It matches the Rfam family "Bacterial small subunit ribosomal RNA", at positions 28 to 1378 of the family's 1533-position model. The record is from RNAcentral.
GACGAACGCUGGCGGCGUGCUUAACACAUGCAUGUCGAACGGAAAGGCCCUGCUUUUGUGGGGUGCUCGAGUGGCGAACGGGUGAGUAACACGUGAGUAACCUGCCCUUGACUUUGGGAUAACUUCAGGAAACUGGGGCUAAUACCGGAUAGGAGCUCCUGCUGCAUGGUGGGGGUUGGAAAGUUUCGGCGGUUGGGGAUGGACUCGCGGCUUAUCAGCUUGUUGGUGGGGUAGUGGCUUACCAAGGCUUUGACGGGUAGCCGGCCUGAGAGGGUGACCGGCCACAUUGGGACUGAGAUACGGCCCAGACUCCUACGGGAGGCAGCAGUGGGGAAUAUUGCACAAUGGGCGGAAGCCUGAUGCAGCAACGCCGCGUGCGGGAUGACGGCCUUCGGGUUGUAAACCGCUUUCGCCUGUGACGAGGCGUGAGUGACGGUAAUGGGUAAAGAAGCACCGGCUAACUACGUGCCAGCAGCCGCGGUGAUACGUAGGGUGCGAGCGUUGUCCGGAUUUAUUGGGCGUAAAGGGCUCGUAGGUGGUUGAUCGCGUCGGAAGUGUAAUCUUGGGGCUUAACCCUGAGCGUGCUUUCGAUACGGGUUGACUUGAGGAAGGUAGGGGAGAAUGGAAUUCCUGGUGGAGCGGUGGAAUGCGCAGAUAUCAGGAGGAACACCAGUGGCGAAGGCGGUUCUCUGGGCCUUUCCUGACGCUGAGGAGCGAAAGCGUGGGGAGCGAACAGGCUUAGAUACCCUGGUAGUCCACGCUGUAAACGGUGGGUACUAGGUGUGGGGUCCAUUCCACGGGUUCCGUGCCGUAGCUAACGCUUUAAGUACCCCGCCUGGGGAGUACGGCCGCAAGGCUAAAACUCAAAGGAAUUGACGGGGCCCCGCACAAGCGGCGGAGCAUGCGGAUUAAUUCGAUGCAACGCGUAGAACCUUACCUGGGUUUGACAUGGAUCGGGAGUGCUCAGAGAUGGGUGUGCCUCUUUUGGGGUCGGUUCACAGGUGGUGCAUGCCUGUCGUCAGCUCGUGUCGUGAGAUGUUGGGUUAAGUCCCGCAACGAGCGCAACCCUUGUUCACUGUUGCCAGCACGUUAUGGUGGGGACUCAGUGGAGACCGCCGGGGUCAACUCGGAGGAAGGUGGGGAUGACGUCAAGUCCUCAUGCCCCUUAUGUCCAGGGCUUCACGCAUGCUACAAUGGCUGGUACAGAGAGUGGCGAGCCUGUGAGGGUGAGCGAAUCUCGGAAAGCCGGUCUCAGUUCGGAUUGGGGUCUGCAACUCGACCUCAUGAAGUCGGAGUCGCUAGUAAUCGCAGAUCAGCAACGCUGCGGUGAAUACGUUCCCGGG